Molecule: ribosomal RNA, 603 nt
Filed under: Triticum aestivum (bread wheat)
Lineage: Eukaryota; Viridiplantae; Streptophyta; Magnoliopsida; Poales; Poaceae
Description: partial small subunit ribosomal RNA
Source: RNAcentral
AUGAGACCCAUGGCUUCCUCCUGGAACUGGAAGUUGCUUUCCCUCGUCUUCCUGCUGGCUAGCACGGCGGCGUGGGGCAUGGCCCACGCCCACGGCGGCGGGCUCAAGCACAUCCACCUGUACAUGCACGAGACCUUCACGGGCCCGAACGCCACGCUGUUUGCGGUGGUGCCGCCCCUGCUGGGCGUGGGCGACAACACCAGCAUGUUCGGGAUGGUCGGAGUGCUGGACGACGAGCUACGCGACGGCUCAGACCCGAGCAACUCAUCGCUGGUGGGGCGGUUCCAGUCCCUCUUCGCCUUCGCGGGGCUGGUGACGCCACCAGGCAUGCAGACGGCGACCAGCCUCGUGUUCACGGCCGGGGAGCACGCCGGGAGCACGCUGGUUAUGGUGGGCAGCAUCGUAAGCUCAGAGGGGCCCUACGAGACCGCCGUGGUGGGCGGCACCGGCGCCUUCAGGAUGGCGCGCGGGUACUGCGUUCUCAAGGCCGUGUGGAGCCCGACGCCGGUGUCCACCGUUUACGAGGUAAACCUGUUGGUGAAGAUGGAGGGAAAACUUUUGGCCAAGAUGGAUGCCUGGAAACGUACUACGUAUGCACUGUGA